This 497-nucleotide ribosomal RNA is filed under the name uncultured bacterium. Its description in RNAcentral is "partial 16S ribosomal RNA". It matches the Rfam family "Bacterial small subunit ribosomal RNA", at positions 28 to 507 of the family's 1533-position model. The record is from RNAcentral.
GAUGAACGCUGGCGGCGUGCCUAAUACAUGCAAGUCGAGCGAACAGACGAGGAACUUGCUCCUCUGACGUUAGCGGCGGACGGGUGAGUAACACGUGGAUAACCUACCUAUAAGACUGGGAUAACUUCGGGAAACCGGAGCUAAUACCGGAUAAUAUAUUGAACCGCAUGGUUCAAUAGUGAAAGACGGUUUUGCUGUCACUUAUAGAUGGAUCCGCGCCGCAUUAGCUAGUUGGUAAGGUAACGGCUUACCAAGGCGACGAUGCGUAGCCGACCUGAGAGGGUGAUCGGCCACACUAGAACUGAGCCACGGUCCAGACUCCUACGGGAGGCAGCAGUAGGGAAUCUUCCGCAAUGGGCGAAAGCCUGACGGAGCAACGCCGCGUGAGUGAUGAAGGUCUUCGGAUCGUAAAACUCUGUUAUUAGGGAAGAACAAAUGUGUAAGUAACUAUGCACGUCUUGACGGUACCUAAUCAGAAAGCCACGGCUAACUACGUG